AACGCGAAGAACCUUACCAGCCCUUGACAUCCCGGUCGCGAGUACCAGAGAUGGAACUCUUCAGUUCGGCUGGACCGGAGACAGGUGCUGCAUGGCUGUCGUCAGCUCGUGUCGUGAGAUGUUGGGUUAAGUCCCGCAACGAGCGCAACCCUCGCCCUUAGUUGCCAUCAUUCAGUUGGGCACUCUAAGGGGACUGCCGGUGAUAAGCCGCGAGGAAGGUGGGGAUGACGUCAAGUCCUCAUGGCCCUUACGGGCUGGGCUACACACGUGCUACAAUGGCGGUGACAAUGGGACGCAAUGGGGAAACCCUGCGCAAAUCUCAAAAAGCCGUCUCAGUUCGGAUUGUGCUCUGCAACUCGAGCACAUGAAGUUGGAAUCGCUAGUAAUCGCAGAUCAGCACGCUGCGGUGAAUACGUUCCCGGGCCUUGUA
Molecule: ribosomal RNA, 430 nt
Filed under: uncultured Alphaproteobacteria bacterium
Lineage: Bacteria; Pseudomonadati; Pseudomonadota; Alphaproteobacteria
Description: bacterial SSU rRNA
Rfam family: Bacterial small subunit ribosomal RNA
Source: RNAcentral